GAUGAAGAACGUAGUGAAAUGCGAUAAGUAGUGUGAAUUGCAGAAUUCAGUGAAUCAUCGAAUCUUUGAACGCACAUUGCGCCCCUUGGUAUUCCAUGGGGCAUGCCUGUUCGAGCGUCAUUUGUACCUUCAAGCUCUGCUUGGUGUUGGGUGUUUGUCUCGCCUCUGCGCGCAGACUCGCCUCAAAACAAUUGGCAGCCGGCGUAUUGAUUUCGGAGCGCAGUACAUCUCGCGCUUUGCACUCAUAACGACGACGUCCAUAAAGUACAUUUUUUACACUCUUGACCUCGGAUCAGGUGGGGAUACCCGCUGAACUUAAGCAUAUCAAUAAGCGGAGGA
This 339-nucleotide unclassified non-coding RNA is filed under the name soil metagenome. RNAcentral's name for it is "partial contains 5.8S ribosomal RNA, internal transcribed spacer 2, and large subunit ribosomal RNA". The stretch from base 1 to 120 matches the Rfam family "5.8S ribosomal RNA", at positions 35 to 154 of the family's 154-position model. The record is from RNAcentral.